GUAGGAAGCAAUGUUGAUGAGUGAAACCAGAGUAUUUAUUGAUUACAGUCAUUGUUAAGUAGUGGUUGCAUCAAGUCUAUGGAAUGGGUUUCAACUUGUCCAUUGAAUUUGUCCAGAUGAUUGUCCUUUCCUCACGUCGGAGUAUUCUUCGAUGUCCCGAUCACUGACUAUUCCAAGGUUUUCGAUCCAUAAAAAUAACCUUGGGGCAACGAAUUUCAAGAGAAGUGGUCCAGCUAAGAAUUAGCCGGAUUAACCAAGACAUCAGACCAGGCAUAACAUGAACUAGAAGACUGUUUGAUAAAUUGACAGCUUUUUUUUGGGUGUUAAGGUGUUCCAAGCAACCUGAAAUAGUUAGGCUGAGAGGUUUUUCUUGUACAAUCAUCAACAAUGGCAGUUUAGUGCAUGUUUAGUGCAAAUAUCAGACUAGAAUAACAAUCUAAUUGGUGUUUUAGGAAGUUUAUUUCUCCUCUAAGGUAUCCAUUUUGUGUGGGAAGCACCUAGAUGCUUAGUUUUUAUGAAGUUCAGCAUAAAUUACUUUACCAAGCUUGUUCUAAUUCUGGUCAUAGAGGUUGUUGACAAAACAACUUUAAGAAUCUAGAUUUUGACAGAUGACCACCUUUUGGAUUGUCUAAGAAGCAAUGUCACAGUUUUACAUGAGUUAAUUACAAGGUUUGUUCGUCCACGGAGCAUGCCUCAUUUGACCAAGUCAGGGUUUCAGCUUAGCAAUAAGAACAUCCAAGUCUUGGGUCUUAUUCUGAGUUGAUUUCUUCUCCUCCCUUGUCAAAACAAAAUCUAGUGCAAAUAUUCUUGGCCAAGAUGGGUGCUUGUCAAGGGACCCAGAUUCCUUUGACUAGCUCCCCUUAUUUUCUCAGCUGGCCCCAAAGGCUCAAAGCAUCUCUUUCAGCAAAC
Molecule: long non-coding RNA, 909 nt
Filed under: Phoenix dactylifera (date palm)
Lineage: Eukaryota; Viridiplantae; Streptophyta; Magnoliopsida; Arecales; Arecaceae
Description: long non-coding RNA (PDAC_LNC001964)
Source: RNAcentral